UACAGAGGUCUCAAGCGUUGUUCGGAUUCAUUGGGCGUAAAGGGUGCGUAGGCGGCGAGGUAAGUCGGAUGUGAAAUCUCAGGGCUCAACCCUGAAACUGCAUUCGAUACUGCCUUGCUCGAGGACUCGAGAGGAGAUUGGAAUUCACGGUGUAGCAGUGAAAUGCGUAGAUAUCUGGAGGAACACCGGUGGCGAAGGCGGCAUCCUGGACCGGUAUUGACGCUGAGGCGCGAAAGCUAGGGGAGCAAACGGG
Molecule: ribosomal RNA, 253 nt
Filed under: uncultured bacterium
Lineage: Bacteria
Description: partial 16S ribosomal RNA
Rfam family: Bacterial small subunit ribosomal RNA
Source: RNAcentral